RNAcentral lists this ribosomal RNA (404 nucleotides) under uncultured bacterium. RNAcentral describes it as "bacterial SSU rRNA". It matches the Rfam family "Bacterial small subunit ribosomal RNA", at positions 29 to 416 of the family's 1533-position model. The record is from RNAcentral.
AACGAACGCUGGCGGCGUGCCUAACACAUGCAAGUCGUGCGAGAAAGUUCCUUCGGGAGCGAGUAAAGCGGCGCACGGGUGAGUAACACGUAGGUAACCUGCCCCCCAGUCUGGAACAACUAGAGGAAACUCUAGCUAAUGCCGGAUGAGACCACGAUCCCUUCGGGGGUUGCGGCCAAAGAUGGCCUCUACUUGUAAGCUAUCGCUGAGGGAUGGGCCUGCGGGCCAUUAGCUUGUUGGUGAGGUAACGGCUCACCAAGGCUGUGAUGGCUAGCUGGUCUGAGAGGAUGACCAGCCACACUGGGACUGAGACACGGCCCAGACUCCUACGGGAGGCAGCAGUGGGGAAUAUUGCGCAAUGGGCGAAAGCCUGACGCAGCGACGCCGCGUGGGUGAUGAAGGCC